AGGCUCCGCUGGGCCGCUGGAACGAGGAGCUAUUGUUGGAGGCAUCUUUGUGCAAAUCCUUCCCUCCGGCGUCCCCAAAGCCGCGCUCCUUUUGUGGCGGGGCCCCCCCGGCGGUGCUGCUCGGGGAGGGAGGGGGCGAGGAGGAGGAGGAGGAGGAGGAGGAGGAGGCAGGGGAGGCCUCGAGCUUCGCGUACAGCCCCGGCUGAGCCCCCGAGCUCGGCGCUGCGGCCGCGCUGAAACUUUCCAAAGUUGUGGCUCGCAGGGUGCGGGCCCAGAGCUGCUGCGAGAGGAAGAGGAGCUCGGGCUCCCCCGGCCGCUCCUCGCCCGGCGCCUCCCGGAGGGGCUGGAAGCGGGGCAGGGCCGCCUGCCGGUACCGCGUGCUCUGCACCGAGUCCCCGCUGCACAGAGAGCUGCUCUCCGACUCCGAGGAGCUGCCCUCCUCGCUGCUGCACGAGCUGUCCCCUUCCUCCUCCUCCUCUUCCUCCUCCUCCUCCUCCUCCUCCUCCGAGGAGUCGCUGGAGGUGGCGGGGCUGGAGGCGGCCAGGUCCAGGCUGGAGUCCGAGUCGCUGGAGUAGCCGGCGGAGGUUCCCUGGCGCUUGGAGGCGGGGAAGCCGCGGGCCCGGCCCUUCCCGGCUGCCGCGGGUCCCGUUCCGGGCGGGGGGAGCCCCUUGGGCCAGCUCGGGCCCCGCCGGUGGCCACCGGCCGGGAGCGCGCAGGGCUGAGCGGCCGCGGGGUGCAGCAGCGGCAGGUGCCGGGGGGAACCGGCCAGAACGGCCGCAAAGAGCCCCCCCCGGGCCGGCUGGAGCUGCUGCGGGCCGGGGGGCGGCGGGGCCCGGCCGGGGGAGCCGCAACAACCCCCGGCUCUGCAGGGCGGGGGCCGCGGGCAGGGGAAGAACUCCCCGGAGCCCGGCAGCAGCAGCUGCUCCCUUCUCCUGCUCUUCCUCCUCCUCUUCCUCCGGCGGGGGCCGAGGCUCUGGCAGGAGGUGCAGAGAGCCUCCAGGUCCGCUUUGGAGAUGAGCGAGCACUUCACGGCCCGCGUGGGCACCGAGUUGAUGGCCUUGAGGGUCCGCAGCUCGGCCAGGUCGCAGCGGCGGCUCUUGAUCUUUAAGGUUUCCAUCUUCUUGCUGAUGGUGGUCCUGGGGAUGUCCUUGAACAGGUCGCUGAGCACCUGGGCCAGGGCGAACAUCUGGGUGCCGUCGAUUUGUAAGUAGCCCAAGUUGAUUCCUUGGAUUUCUUGGUAGCCGGCGUGGAAAUGGCCCGGCCGGGUCUGUCGGUGGAAAUCCACGGGGGCCGGAGCCAUCGCCAAGGUCCCCUCGCAGGUCAGGAACAUUUUGCCUCGAGAUAUUUAUUAUUGGGGUUUUUUUGUUGGGUUUUUUUGGGGUAUUUUUGGGGUUUUUUUCUUUUGGAUUUUUUUUUUUUUUUUUUUUUUUUUUUUACUUUGUCCCUUUCAAAGAAGGGCACGGAAAAUCAGGAAAAUCAGGACAUUUCUGUUUCCCACUCCGGGAUCGCUCACAUCCCUCCGCAGAGGGGCCAGAGGGGGAGGGGAGGCGAAAAAAAAACCAAAAAAAAAAAAAAAACAAGGAAAAGAGGAAAAAAAAAUAAUAAUAAAAAACCCAGCCGAUCUCGCUUUUCA
RNAcentral lists this long non-coding RNA (1633 nucleotides) under Parus major (Great Tit). RNAcentral describes it as "lncRNA (ENSPMJG00000013304.1)". Lineage: Eukaryota; Metazoa; Chordata; Aves; Passeriformes; Paridae. The record is from RNAcentral.